Apteryx rowi (Okarito brown kiwi) is the source of this 412-nucleotide long non-coding RNA. The record is from Ensembl. Lineage: Eukaryota; Metazoa; Chordata; Aves; Apterygiformes; Apterygidae.
CAUUCAAGCAGCCCUAGCUACUGGGCCAUGUGGUGAAAGCAGUGUGUGUUAGGUGUCAGCAAGCCUGUACAAUGGACUGGGACCGUAAUGAUAUAUCAAGACGGCAAGAACGCGUUGCCUGGGAAGUUCAAACAGCUUUAGAUGGGACACGUUUUUCUAGAUGCUUACUCUCUUUGGGAGCGCUCAAAACAGAAUUAUCAGCACAUCUUCUAAGCCCUUUCUUCUGGCUAGAUUCCCAAAGGAACUGAAGUCUCCGGUGCACGGCUGCCUCUCUGCGACCAAGUCCAAAAGGAAAAGCUACAAAACACUUGCCCAGCCCUGGAGGUCCACAAAUUCCCCAGGCUUUCCCACAGGUCCUCAAGUGGCAUUGGAAGAGUUCAACCAUCAAGCUUUGGGAAGUUUGGAAGUAUAA